This 492-nucleotide ribosomal RNA is filed under the name uncultured bacterium. Its description in RNAcentral is "partial 16S ribosomal RNA". It matches the Rfam family "Bacterial small subunit ribosomal RNA", at positions 29 to 507 of the family's 1533-position model. The record is from RNAcentral.
AGUGAACGCUGGCGGUAGGCCUAACACAUGCCAGUCGAACGGCAGCACAGUAAAAGCUUGCUCUUACGGGUGGCGAGUGGCGGACGGGUGAGGAAUACAUCGGAAUCUACUUUUUCGUGGGGGAUAACGUAGGGAAACUUACGCUAAUACCGCAUACGACCUACGGGUGAAAGCAGGGGAUCUUCGGACCUUGCCCGAUUGAAUGAGCCGAUGUCGGAUUAGCUAGUUGGCGGGGUAAAGGCCCACCAAGGCGACGAUCCGUAGCUGGUCUGAGAGGAUGAUCAGCCACACUGGAACUGAGACACGGUCCAGACUCCUACGGGAGGCAGCAGUGGGGAAUAUUGGACAAUGGGCGCAAGCCUGAUCCAGCCAUACCGCGUGGGUGAAGAAGGCCUUCGGGUUGUAAAGCCCUUUUGUUGGGAAAGAAAAGCAGCAGGUUAAUACCCCGCUGUUCUGACGGUACCCAAAGAAUAAGCACCGGCUAACUUCGUG